UUUAGAGGAAGUAAAAGUCGUAACAAGGUUUCCGUAGGUGAACCUGCGGAAGGAUCAUUAUUGAAAUAAACCUGAUGGGUUGUUGCUGGCUCUCUAGGGAAGCAUGUGCACGCCUUGUCAUCUUUAUAUCUCCACCUGUGCACCUUUUGUAGACCUUUCAGGUCUAUGUUGCUUCAUUUUCACCCAAUGUAUGUUAAUAGAAUGUUGUGCCUGUAUAAUAUAUACAACUUUCAGCAACGGAUCUCUUGGCUCUCGCAUCGAUGAAGAACGCAGCGAAAUGCGAUAAGUAAUGUGAAUUGCAGAAUUCAGUGAAUCAUCGAAUCUUUGAACGCACCUUGCGCUCCUUGGUAUUCCGAGGAGCAUGCCUGUUUGAGUGUCAUUAAUAUAAUCAAACCUUCUCUUGUAGAAGGGUUUGGAUGUGGGGGUUUUGCUGGCCUCUUAAAAAGGGUUCAGCUCUCCUGAAAUGCAUUAGCAGAACAAACCUUGUUCAUUGGUGUGAUAACUAUCUACGCUAUUGAAUAUUAAGGGGGCAGUUCAGCUUUCUAACGGUCCUUGGACAACUCAUCGUUAAUGUGACCUCAAAUCAGGUAGGACUACCCGCUGAACUUAAGCAUAUCAAUAAGCGGAGGA
RNAcentral lists this ribosomal RNA (630 nucleotides) under Dermocybe sp. PDD 94202. RNAcentral's name for it is "eukaryotic LSU rRNA". The stretch from base 226 to 379 matches the Rfam family "5.8S ribosomal RNA". Lineage: Eukaryota; Fungi; Basidiomycota; Agaricomycetes; Agaricales; Cortinariaceae. The record is from RNAcentral.